CCUACGGGAGGCAGCAGUAGGGAAUAUUGCUCAAUGGGGGAAACCCUGAAGCAGCAACGCCGCGUGGAGGAUGAAGGUUUUCGGAUUGUAAACUCCUUUUGUUAGAGAAGAUAAUGACGGUAUCUAACGAAUAAGCACCGGCUAACUCCGUGCCAGCAGCCGCGGUAAUACGGAGGGUGCAAGCGUUACUCGGAAUCACUGGGCGUAAAGAGCGCGUAGGCGGGAUAGCAAGUCAGAUGUGAAAUCCUAUGGCUUAACCAUAGAACUGCAUUUGAAACUGGUAUUCUAGAGUAUGGGAGAGGUAGGUGGAAUUCUUGGUGUAGGGGUAAAAUGCGUAGAUAUUAAGAGGAAUACUCAUUGCGAAGGCGACCUGCUAGAACAUAACUGACGCUGAUGCGCGAAAGCGUGGGGAGCAAACAGGAUUAGAUACCCCAGUAGUC
This 440-nucleotide ribosomal RNA is filed under the name uncultured bacterium. RNAcentral's name for it is "partial 16S ribosomal RNA". It matches the Rfam family "Bacterial small subunit ribosomal RNA", at positions 338 to 795 of the family's 1533-position model. The record is from RNAcentral.